This 366-nucleotide ribosomal RNA is filed under the name uncultured organism. RNAcentral's name for it is "bacterial SSU rRNA". It matches the Rfam family "Bacterial small subunit ribosomal RNA", at positions 526 to 896 of the family's 1533-position model. The record is from RNAcentral.
CGGAGGGUCCAAGCGUUAUCCGGAAUCAUUGGGUUUAAAGGGUCCGUAGGCGGUUUAGUAAGUCAGUGGUGAAAGCCCAUCGCUCAACGGUGGAACGGCCAUUGAUACUGCUAAACUUGAAUUAUUAGGAAGUAACUAGAAUAUGUAGUGUAGCGGUGAAAUGCUUAGAUAUUACAUGGAAUACCAAUUGCGAAGGCAGGUUACUACUAAUGGAUUGACGCUGAUGGACGAAAGCGUGGGUAGCGAACAGGAUUAGAUACCCUGGUAGUCCACGCCGUAAACGAUGGAUACUAGCUGUUCGGAGCAAUCUGAGUGGCUAAGCGAAAGUGAUAAGUAUCCCACCUGGGGAGUACGUUCGCAAGAAUG